This 16-nucleotide ribosomal RNA is filed under the name Armillaria sp. HKAS86549. RNAcentral's name for it is "partial small subunit ribosomal RNA". Lineage: Eukaryota; Fungi; Basidiomycota; Agaricomycetes; Agaricales; Physalacriaceae. The record is from RNAcentral. RNAcentral also lists the same sequence under 1 other name.
CCUGCGGAGGUCAUUA